This 452-nucleotide ribosomal RNA is filed under the name uncultured Desulfocapsa sp. RNAcentral's name for it is "bacterial SSU rRNA". It matches the Rfam family "Bacterial small subunit ribosomal RNA", at positions 933 to 1382 of the family's 1533-position model. Lineage: Bacteria; Pseudomonadati; Thermodesulfobacteriota; Desulfobulbia; Desulfobulbales; Desulfocapsaceae. The record is from RNAcentral.
UGGAGUAUGUGGUUUAAUUCGACGCAACGCGCAGAACCUUACCUGGUCUUGACAUCUCGGGAAUCAUUUGGAAACAUAUGAGUGCCUCGCAAGAGGAGCCCGAUGACAGGUGCUGCAUGGCUGUCGCCAGCUCGUGUCGUGAGAUGUUGGGUUAAGUCCCGCAACGAGCGCAACCCUUGUCUUUAGUUGCCAUCAUUAAGUUGGGCACUCUAAAGAGACUGCCGGUGUCAAACCGGAGGAGGGCGGGGAUGACGUCAAGUCCUCAUGGCCCUUACAUCCCGGGCUACACACGUGCUACAAUGGCAGGUACAGAGGGCUGCGAAGCCGCGAGGUGGAGCGAAUCCCAGAAAACCUGUCUCAGUCCGGAUUGAAGUCUGCAACUCGACUUCAUGAAGGCGGAAUCGCUAGUAACCGCGAAUCAGCAGGUCGCGGUGAAUACGUUCCCGGGCCUU